GAUGAACGCUGGCGGCGUGCCUAAUACAUGCAAGUCGAGCGAACAGAUGAGGAGCUUGCUCCUCUGACGUUAGCGGCGGACGGGUGAGUAACACGUGGAUAACCUACCUAUAAGACUGGGAUAACUUCGGGAAACCGGAGCUAAUACCGGAUAAUAUAUUGAACCGCAUGGUUCAAUAGUGAAAGACGGUUUUGCUGUCACUUAUAGAUGGAUCCGCGCCGCAUUAGCUAGUUGGUAAGGUAACGGCUUACCAAGGCAACGAUGCGUAGCCGACCUGAGAGGGUGAUCGGCCACACUGGAACUGAGACACGGUCCAGACUCCUACGGGAGGCAGCAGGAGGGAAUCUGCCGCAAUGGGCGAAAGCCUGACGGAGCAACGCCGCGUGAGUGAUGAAGGUCUUCGGAUCGUAAAACUCUGUUAUUAGGGAAGAACAAAUGUGUAAGUAACUAUGCACGUCUUGACGGUACCUAAUCAGAAAGCCACGGCGAACUACGU
This 496-nucleotide ribosomal RNA is filed under the name uncultured bacterium. Its description in RNAcentral is "partial 16S ribosomal RNA". It matches the Rfam family "Bacterial small subunit ribosomal RNA", at positions 28 to 506 of the family's 1533-position model. The record is from RNAcentral.